RNAcentral lists this non-coding RNA (26 nucleotides) under Cricetulus griseus (Chinese hamster). Lineage: Eukaryota; Metazoa; Chordata; Mammalia; Rodentia; Cricetidae. The record is from RNAcentral.
AAAGGGAAGGAGGACGUGGGCAAGAC